AGUGAACGCUGGCGGCAGGCCUAACACAUGCAAGUCGAGCGGCAGCGCGUCCGACCACCCUCGGGUGGUCGGAUGGCGGCGAGCGGCGGACGGGUGAGGAAUGCAUCGGAAUCUGCCUCGUUGUGGGGGAUAACGUAGGGAAACUUACGCUAAUACCGCAUACGACCUACGGGUGAAAGUGGGGGACCUUCGGGCCUCACGCGAUGAGAUGAGCCGAUGCCGGAUUAGCUAGUUGGCGGGGUAAAGGCCCACCAAGGCGACGAUCCGUAGCUGGUCUGAGAGGAUGAUCAGCCACACUGGAACUGAGACACGGUCCAGACUCCUACGGGAGGCAGCAGUGGGGAAUAUUGGACAAUGGGGGCAACCCUGAUCCAGCCAUGCCGCGUGUGUGAAGAAGGCCUUGGUGUAAG
Molecule: ribosomal RNA, 410 nt
Filed under: uncultured bacterium
Lineage: Bacteria
Description: bacterial SSU rRNA
Rfam family: Bacterial small subunit ribosomal RNA
Source: RNAcentral